CUUUGACGUAGAGGUGCGGUAAAAAAUAGUAACUUCUGUUGGGGUAAUGCCAAUGAACAAAAGUGAAAGGUUUUAUCGCCGAAGUAAGUAUGCACAUUAAAGCAGCUUGCUGGGGUUGUAUUCGAAUAGGAACAACACUGCCAUAGUCUAUUCUUUUUUUAAACUAUGGAGCGCUACUGUAGGG
Molecule: non-coding RNA, 184 nt
Filed under: Vibrio anguillarum
Lineage: Bacteria; Pseudomonadati; Pseudomonadota; Gammaproteobacteria; Vibrionales; Vibrionaceae
Description: Lysine sequence
Rfam family: Lysine riboswitch aptamer
About the family: Riboswitches are metabolite binding domains within certain messenger RNAs that serve as precision sensors for their corresponding targets. Allosteric rearrangement of mRNA structure is mediated by ligand binding, and this results in modulation of gene expression.
Source: RNAcentral